AUAUGUACUACCUCAAAGGCAUGCUCUUGAGGUGUCUCUGGAAUGUUUCACAUCUUAUGUCUUGCAAUCCAUGCUUCCAUCUAAAAUUACUCUAUUACAUAAUGUUGGACCACAAACCUUUCUCAAUUAAGGACUCCUCAUCUCAUUCUAUUUGCAAACAAAGACAAUAUAAACAAGCUUUUUUCCUA
Telopea speciosissima is the source of this 188-nucleotide long non-coding RNA. RefSeq lists it as uncharacterized. Lineage: Eukaryota; Viridiplantae; Streptophyta; Magnoliopsida; Proteales; Proteaceae. The record is from RefSeq and is a predicted model, not a curated record. The transcript has 2 exons.